RNAcentral lists this ribosomal RNA (517 nucleotides) under uncultured bacterium. Its description in RNAcentral is "bacterial SSU rRNA". It matches the Rfam family "Bacterial small subunit ribosomal RNA", at positions 992 to 1509 of the family's 1533-position model. The record is from RNAcentral.
AGAACUUAGCAGAGAUGCUUUGGUGCCUUCGGGAACUCUGAGACAGGUGCUGCAUGGCUGUCGUCAGCUCGUGUUGUGAAAUGUUGGGUUAAGUCCCGCAACGAGCGCAACCCUUAUCCUUUGUUGCCAGCGGUCCGGCCGGGAACUCAAAGGAGACUGCCAGUGAUAAACUGGAGGAAGGUGGGGAUGACGUCAAGUCAUCAUGGCCCUUACGAGUAGGGCUACACACGUGCUACAAUGGCGCAUACAAAGAGAAGCGACCUCGCGAGAGCAAGCGGACCUCAUAAAGUGCGUCGUAGUCCGGAUUGGAGUCUGCAACUCGACUCCAUGAAGUCGGAAUCGCUAGUAAUCGUGGAUCAGAAUGCCACGGUGAAUACGUUCCCGGGCCUUGUGCACACCGCCCGUCACACCAUGGGAGUGGGUUGCAAAAGAAGUAGGUAGCUUAACCUUCGGGAGGGCGCUUACCACUUUGUGAUUCAUGACUGGGGUGAAGUCGUAACAAGGUAGGCGUAGUGCU